This 90-nucleotide transfer RNA is filed under the name Eutypa lata. RNAcentral describes it as "tRNA-Cys". It matches the Rfam family "tRNA". Rfam says of the family: Transfer RNA (tRNA) molecules are approximately 80 nucleotides in length. Their secondary structure includes four short double-helical elements and three loops (D, anti-codon, and T loops). Lineage: Eukaryota; Fungi; Ascomycota; Sordariomycetes; Xylariales; Diatrypaceae. RNAcentral also lists the same sequence under 1 other name. The record is from RNAcentral.
GGAGUCAUAGCUCAGUGGUAGAGCAGCGGACUGCAGUUUGCUGUCGUAGCAUCUUUCCGAAGGUCACGAGUUCGACUCUCGUUGACUCCU